This 226-nucleotide ribosomal RNA is filed under the name uncultured bacterium. RNAcentral's name for it is "partial 16S ribosomal RNA". It matches the Rfam family "Bacterial small subunit ribosomal RNA", at positions 14 to 231 of the family's 1533-position model. The record is from RNAcentral.
GAAUCAUGGCUCAGGAUGAACGCUAGCUACAGGCUUAACACAUGCAAGUCGAGGGGCAGCGGGAUUGAAGCUUGCUUCAAUUGCCAGCGACCGGCGCACGGGUGAGUAACGCGUAUCCAACCUUCCGUACACUCAGGGAUAGCCUUUCGAAAGAAAGAUUAAUACCUGAUGGUAUGAUGAGAUUGCAUGAUAGCAUCAUUAAAGAUUUAUCGGUGUACGAUGGGGA